CGAUGGCAUGUUGGAACUAUAUUGGAUAUGAUGCCGUGUCAAUGAUGAUAGAAGAGGUCAGCAAUCCUACAAAAGACAUCCCAAUUGGCGUUUCGGAUUAAUGCAGAGGCGUCGUUCUUGUCGUCGUUUGGAUGAUCAAAAGUGGGAUGGGGAUGGGCUUUGAACGUGAUCGAUGCCGGAGCCAGCUUGGGAUUCUGACAUCGCUGCUGGUAUAUAUGUUGGGCCAAGCUUGUUUUCUCUACAUCAUUGUACGCUUAAACCGAUAGGAUUCAAGACCAAGUUUGGGAUUUUAGAGUUGAAGAUGUAAUAAGCAUAAAAUGGUCAUUGACUUAUGGUGUUAGUUAGGCACAAGUUUUUUUGUAAUAAAUGAAAAGUGAGGGGGUUGGGUGUAAUAAGCACAAAUGGAAUGGGAGGUGGAUGGAAAUGUCCCUUAUUUUUUUUAAACUACAUAACUUUAGGUGUCUAGGCCUUAAUUAGCAAUGUUAUUAUAGUAAUACAAAGGAUUAGUGCUUGACCACUAACCCUCUAUGGAGAACC
This is a long non-coding RNA of Macadamia integrifolia, 537 nucleotides long. RefSeq lists it as uncharacterized. The record is from RefSeq and is a predicted model, not a curated record. The transcript is spliced from 2 exons. Lineage: Eukaryota; Viridiplantae; Streptophyta; Magnoliopsida; Proteales; Proteaceae.